Molecule: long non-coding RNA, 3175 nt
Organism: Oryzias melastigma (Indian medaka)
Lineage: Eukaryota; Metazoa; Chordata; Actinopteri; Beloniformes; Adrianichthyidae
Exons: 3
Source: RefSeq, a predicted model, not a curated record
ACAGCUGAGAAACGGUUGGAGCAUGAUGGGAAACAGGAGAGAACGCUGCUGCCAGAUGGACCAAUCAGAGGAUCCAGAACGACGUUAAAGCAGGUUUGAGAGAGGAGACGACGUCUGAUGGAGGAGAAGCUGCUCCAUCACUACCAGCGGAGAAGGAAACUUUUCCAUGAAGCCGUAUCUGUUUGGGCAGAGAAGCUAACGGACACGGUUAGCAUGAUGACCUCAACGUUAGCUAGCAAUCCACAAGUCAUCUGGUUCCAUCCAGCCGCUGAUGUCCUCUCACUCUAAAACAAAUCGUUGGGUCACAAACUCUUGUUCAGGUCGUCAAGUCGUCAGGUCAUCAGGUCGUCAGUGGUGCAAGUCAUCAGAUCAUUAGGUCAUCAGGUCGUCAGGUUAUCAAGUCAUCAGGUCAUUAGUCUGACGGGUCAUCAGGUCGUCUGGUCUUCAGGUCAUCAAGUCAUCAGGUCAUCAGUCUGACAGGUCAUCAGGUCGUCAAGUCGUCAGGUCAUCAGAUUGUUAGGUCGUCAAGUCAUCAGGUCAUCAGUCUGACAGGUCGUCAGGUCGUCAGGUCUUCAGGUCGUCAAGUCAUCAGGUCGUCAGUCUGACAGGUCGUCAGGUCUUCAGGUCGUCAAGUCAUCAGGUCAUCACGUCAGUGGUGCAGGUAUCUGUGAGCCGAGUCUCCUCAGCUAAACCUCUUCAGUCAGAGCAGAGCUUUUAUUUUGUAGGAGUCACCGUCUUGUGUUUGAUGACAGAAACCUUCAGCAGGAACCUCAGAGACGUUGGUUUGGGUCUCGACCUUCAGAGCUGAGCGUCCCCGUCGGGGGGGUGUGGGCAGCAGCUGUCCCGCGGCGUGCACAAUGCGGCCGUGACAUUUGAGAGGCCGUUGGAGCCGAGGCCCGGCCACGUGAAGCUGCAGCUCAGGAAGGAGUCCAGCAUUCUGCUGGGAGGACGGACGGCCAGAGAAGAUGAAAGCGUCAGGGAUCAGGCGGCGGCGGCCGUGAUGAAAACAGGCGGCGGCGUUGAGCCUCCGUCCGCCGCUGCUUUCAACCGCUGCCAUCUCAUUUCAAAGGGAUCAUCCCGGACUCUCAGAGACGCAGCAUCUCUGCUACAUGCAGACAUAAUCCAUUUUUCAUCAGGCUCCAUAAGCCCCCCGGAGGAGCACCCCGCCCCCGCCUGUGUUUGUUUUGGUUUGAAGGUGGCGGCGCUGAAAGGGUGGAGCAUCAGACGAGGUAAAAAUAGACUCUGCGUCAUCGCAGGAGAAUCCUCACUCCCCUGCAGGGACUCCUCUGGGCUGAUCCUUCCACUCACACCUGCAUCACCAGCAGGUGAGAAGCCACGCCCACAGACGGGAGUGGGCGGGGCUGGAGGAAUGCGAGGAACGCAGGCAGCUCACGUCACGACCAGAAAGACGAGAAAAGCAGGAGGGAGACGAAGAAAACAGAGGAAGGUUUCUACGGAGCGCCGGAGGGACAAAAGGAGCGAAACCAUGACGAAGCAAAAAUCAAUCAAACGAUUUGUUUGUUAUUUAAAAUGUGAGACGGUUUUAAAACAGGCUGUUAAUGUUGGACUUCAUAUCACUUCAUAUGAAUUCAAGUUUCUAAAUAUCUCAUUGAUCUUACUUUAACAUAUUUAACCCUUAAAACACCACUGACAAACCAGGUUACCAUGACGACAGCCUGUCUGGAUUCAGAUUCACUUAAAAUCAUCUGUCAGACAUGAACAGGUCUCCGUGGAGACGUUUACUGGAGGUGGGACCUUCAUAAAUGAUCAACCAAACACAGGAAGUGAGCCUGGUGGUGACUUCAGCGGGAACGUGUCCGGACAUGUUGGAGUCCGAGGUGAGCUGCAGACUUCAUCAGAGUUCAUCUGAGUUCAUCUGAGCCGUCUGCCUCACGUUUAUGGAAGUUCAGUGACCUCUGACCUCUGGAAAGGUCAUCCCCACAGUUCAGUCCUCUUGGAGAUGACGGAGAACAUCUGACCUUCAGGUCUUCACUGUGGAGUCUCCAACCUCAGUGACCCAGAAAAGCUGCUGCUGUUGGAUGCUGAUCAGCAUGACUCAGACAGUGGAUGGAUGAAGCCUGAGGACACCUGCUGCUCAGGUGAAGCGGGUUCUUCAGCUCCGUGCUCGUCUCGGCUUGUUUGGGUGGAAGGCGUGAUGCGUCACAGAUCACAUGAGGAUCAGUCAGCGAGGACAGGAAAUGCUGUUUCCUCUCAGCAGCAGCCUGACAUGGUUCAUGGGGGCGGAGUCUGGCGAGCUUCACCUAUCUGCUCACAUACCUUUGAGCUGCUUUGGAGCAGAUCAGGAGGACCAGGAGGAGAUGAGACGCUCCUCCGUCACACAGUCUGUGUUUGUGGUUCUGGUCCGUCCACGGCGGCCCGCAGGGAUGUGCUGGAGUUGCAUAACGACUUCCCGUUCAGCACUUUGCUGUGAUUGGACGUGCUGCGGCGCCGUUUGCAGAUCUGCUGCUCGGCGGCUCGGAUCCUCAUUACAGGAUCAACUCUUUCAUCCUUCAGUUCAAAGCGGCGAGAAGACAUGCGCUGCAUCUUAAGGAGGAAGAGGGGGAGAAUGAGGAGGAGCAGGGGAACCCGCUGGGGGCGGAGCCAGGCAGGAAAGGCAGCUGGACUGAAUGAAGAUGUAACUGCAGCGUUUCAACAGUGAUGAGACAUUUUCUCUGGUUACCGAAGGACAAACGUCUGAGUCACAGCGGCGACCUCCGUCUGAGCGUGACCUUCUGUGGCGGCGCAUGAAUCAGACGUCUCUGAAGGGGAGGAGCUUCAGCCGAGGAGAAGGUCACUGAAGUUGCUCCUCCAUCAACUCAAGGACCUGAGGUUCAAACCUGCAGGAUGGAGGAUGAUGUCACCUGAGGAACGAGGGUUCAGGUGUUUCUGUAGUUCAGGUGGAGCUCUCACGGUCAAUGUUCUGAAAAACAUUCGCCAGGUUGAUGUUUAGUCUGUUUCCUGAAGGAAAUGAUUUAAGAGUCGAUCAUCAAAAAAACAAAAUCAUCAGUAAACAAGCAAACAAACGGUGGUCUCUAUGCCUAACAUCACCAGUCGAUGUAGCAUUUAGAGAUUCACACGUUUCAUUUAACUGAACCAGAAAUCCAUCCAUCCGUCCAUCAUCCAUCCAUCCAUCCAUCAUCCAUCAUCAUCCAUCCAUCAUCCAUCCAUCCAUCCA